GGAAUCUUCGGCAAUGGACGAAAGUCUGACCGAGCAACGCCGCGUGAGUGAAGAAGGUUUUCGGAUCGUAAAACUCUGUUGGUAGAGAAGAACGUUGGUGAGAGUGGAAAGCUCAUCAAGUGACGGUAACUACCCAGAAAGGGACGGCUAACUACGUGCCAA
Molecule: ribosomal RNA, 162 nt
Filed under: uncultured bacterium
Lineage: Bacteria
Description: partial 16S ribosomal RNA
Rfam family: Bacterial small subunit ribosomal RNA
Source: RNAcentral